Molecule: ribosomal RNA, 478 nt
Filed under: uncultured bacterium
Lineage: Bacteria
Description: partial 16S ribosomal RNA
Rfam family: Bacterial small subunit ribosomal RNA
Source: RNAcentral
GACGAACGCUGGCGGCGUGCUUAACACAUGCAAGUCGAACGGUAAGGCCCUUCGGGGUACACGAGUGGCGAACGGGUGAGUAACACGUGGGUGAUCUGCCCUGCACUUCGGGAUAAGCCUGGGAAACUGGGUCUAAUACCGGAGAGGACCAUUGCCUGCAUGGGUGGUGGUGGAAAGCUUUUGCGGUGUGGGAUGGGCCCGCGGCCUUUGAGCUUGUUGGGGGGGUGAAGGCCUACCGAGGCGGCGACGGGUCGCCGGCCUGGGAGGGUGACCGGCCAAACGGGGAAUGAGAUACGGCCCAGACUCCUACGGGAGGCAGCAGUGGGGAAUAUUGCACAAUGGGCGCAAGCCUGAUGCAGCGACGCCGCGUGAGGGAUGACGGCCUUCGGGUUGUAAACCUCUUUCAGCAUCGACGAAGCGCAAGUGACGGUAGGUGCAGAAGAAGGACCGGCCAACUACGUGCCAGCAGCCGCCGUAA